Molecule: microRNA precursor, 207 nt
Organism: Oryza sativa Indica Group (long-grained rice)
Lineage: Eukaryota; Viridiplantae; Streptophyta; Magnoliopsida; Poales; Poaceae
Rfam family: MIR812 microRNA precursor family
Source: Rfam
AAAAAGGCAAACCGUGGGUUCCCGUGCCAACGUUUGACUGUCUGUCUUAUAUGAAAUUUUUUUAUAAUGAGUAUUUUCAUUGUUGUUGUUAGAUGAUAAAACAUGAUUAAUACUUUAUGCGUGACUUAUCUUUUUAAAUUUUUUCAUAACUUUUUAAAUAAGAUGAACAGUCAAACGUUGGACACAGAAACCAGGGUUUGUCUUUUU